CAGCCGCCACGGUAAUACGGAGGGUGCAAGCGUUAAUCGGAAUUACUGGGCGUAAAGCGCACGCAGGCGGUCUGACAAGUCAGAUGUGAAAUCCCCGGGCUUAACCUGGGAACUGCAUUUGAAACUGUCAGGCUGGAGUCAUGUAGAGGGGGGUGGAAUUCCAGGUGUAGCGGUGAAAUGCGUAGAGAUCUGGAGGAAUACCGGUGGCGAAGGCGGCCCCCUGGACAAAGACUGACGCUCAGGUGCGAAAGCGUGGGGAGCAAACAGGAUUAGAUACCCCAGUAGUCCCUGUCUCUUAUAC
This 301-nucleotide ribosomal RNA is filed under the name uncultured bacterium. RNAcentral describes it as "partial 16S ribosomal RNA". It matches the Rfam family "Bacterial small subunit ribosomal RNA", at positions 509 to 807 of the family's 1533-position model. The record is from RNAcentral.